UGCGUAGGUGGGUCUGUAAGUCAGUGGUGAAAUCCCCGAGCUUAACUUGGGAACUGCCGUUGAUACUAUAGAUCUUGAAUAUCGUGGAGGUAAGCGGAAUAUGUCAUGUAGCGGUGAAAUGCUUAGAUAUGACAUAGAACACCAAUUGCGAAGGCAGCUUACUACACGAUCAUUGACACUGAGGCACGAAAGCGUGGGGAGCAAACAGGAUUAGAUACCCUGGUAGUCCACGCCCUAAACUAUGGAUACUCGACAUCAGCGAUACACAGUUGGUGUCUGAGCGAAAGCAUUAAGUAUCCCACCUGGGAAGUACGAUCGCAAGAUUGAA
Molecule: ribosomal RNA, 328 nt
Filed under: uncultured Niastella sp.
Lineage: Bacteria; Pseudomonadati; Bacteroidota; Chitinophagia; Chitinophagales; Chitinophagaceae
Description: bacterial SSU rRNA
Rfam family: Bacterial small subunit ribosomal RNA
Source: RNAcentral